RNAcentral lists this ribosomal RNA (252 nucleotides) under uncultured bacterium. RNAcentral describes it as "partial 16S ribosomal RNA". It matches the Rfam family "Bacterial small subunit ribosomal RNA", at positions 524 to 776 of the family's 1533-position model. The record is from RNAcentral.
UACGGAGGAUGCGAGCGUUAUCCGGAUUUAUUGGGUUUAAAGGGUGCGUAGGCGGGAUGCCAAGUCAGCGGUAAAAAUGCGGUGCUCAACCCCGCCCAGCCGUCGGAACUGCCGGGCUAGAGUGGGCGAGAAGUGCGCGGAAUGCGUGGUGUAGCGGUGAAAUGCAUAGAUAUCACGCAGAACUCCGAUUGCGAAGGCAGCGCACCGGCGCCCUACUGACGCUCAGGCACGAAAGCGUGGGUAUCGAACAGG